ACUCCUACGGGAGGCAGCAGUGGGGAAUAUUGGACAAUGGGGGGAACCCUGAUCCAGCCAUGCCGCGUGUGUGAAGAAGGCCUUUUGGUUGUAAAGCACUUUAAGCGAGGAGGAGGCUUACCUGUUAAUNCCUUGGGAAUAAGUGGACGUUUACUCGCAGAUAAGCACCGCUAACUCUGUGCCAGCAGCCGCGGUAAUACAGAGGGUGCAAGCGUUAAUCGGAUUUACUGGGCGUAAAGCGCGCGUAGGUGGCUAAUUAAGUCAAAUGUGAAAU
Molecule: ribosomal RNA, 274 nt
Filed under: uncultured bacterium
Lineage: Bacteria
Description: partial 16S ribosomal RNA
Rfam family: Bacterial small subunit ribosomal RNA
Source: RNAcentral